ACGCACUCGCACACACUCCUCACUCACACUCUCACACACAUCUGGCAGCCCACCCCUUCCAUUCCUUUACUUCAGAAGUAUAUCUUCAUUGAGAUUUCCCCAAGCGCUUGUAGGAGAGCAAAGAUCGAGAGGAAAAGCUGAAUUCAAGGGUAUCCUGUCCAGGGGACAGAAGGCAAUCCUGCCCAAGCAACAGAAUAAAACACUUCGAAAACAAAACUUGUGUACCGGUUGUAGGACAUUGAGCAGCUGAAGACUCCUGAAAAGUUGGAAGUCUGUAUGCUGAAACAUGGGGAGAACAUCAUUGACACCCUGGGAGCAGAGGUGGACCAUCUGGAGAAAGAGCUCAAGCAACGCAAUCCAGAAGUGCGGCACGUGGAUCUGGAGCUCCUGUAAUGCUGUGAGGGAAGUGCAGCAUCUGUGUGGCAGAGAAGAAGCCGGACAAGUUGAAGAAGGUUUAGGUGGUUGUGCAGCUCUACUGAACCAGCUCUGAACCACCAUCCACAAAGUCUUACUUUUCAUCAUUACCACGUCAUUGCAGCGCUUCCUCAAUCCACACGUCUGAUACUUCUGUCAACUGAUCAUGCAAGAAGGUGUUCCGUUAGGUCCGAAAGAGUUCAUAGAUGACAAUAACAAAAGAAGGUUGUGAGUUUAAGUCCCAGAGCUGUAAAAGCUGAGAGUCUGGAUAAAAGUUUGCAUUUGCAAAAGAAAGACAUUAAUGUACAAAUACACCAUCUUUCAUUAUGUACUAUUAAUACAGAGGUCUUCAAGAAGUUUUAAAUUCAGCAUAUCUAUAGCAUAUAUGUGAUUACCACAGACUACAUGUUUCUGUGUUGUAAGAAAUAAACAGAAAACCAUUUACUCAAAAGUGACAAUGGAAGUCUAAUAGCUGUGUUUUUUUUUUUUUUUUUUUUUUUUUUUUUUUUGCCCAAUAAAUAUUUACUAUGCAGAACUACAUGAUUGAAAUCUACCACAAUUACACUUUAACUGUAAAUGUUAAAAAGUGAUGUAUAUAGAAAGCAAGCGCAAAAGUCAUCUGGUUAAUACAGAAUCUUUCCAUCUAAAACAACUAGCAUUUCUGAAUGCAGGAGUUCAUACUGAUUCAUUUACAUAUAAAUAAAAAUUAAUUGAAUCAUUUGACAGAACGACUCCUUUAUAGGAGAAUGUAAAUGUUUUUUUGUUUUGUUCUGUUCAUUUGUCUGCAAAAAGAAAUGUAAAUAUAUAUUAGUUUGUGGUAAUCAAACAUCUGUUACUUCCAUUGAAAUAAAUGUCAUUCAUAAUUUGA
Silurus meridionalis is the source of this 1282-nucleotide long non-coding RNA. RefSeq lists it as uncharacterized. NCBI's taxonomy places the organism in Eukaryota, Metazoa, Chordata, Actinopteri, Siluriformes, Siluridae. The transcript is spliced from 2 exons. The record is from RefSeq and is a predicted model, not a curated record.